This 1352-nucleotide ribosomal RNA is filed under the name Rhodococcus sp. qy-Rho4. RNAcentral describes it as "16S ribosomal RNA". It matches the Rfam family "Bacterial small subunit ribosomal RNA". The record is from RNAcentral. Lineage: Bacteria; Bacillati; Actinomycetota; Actinomycetes; Mycobacteriales; Nocardiaceae.
CAUGCAAGUCGAACGGUAAGGCCCCUUCGGGGGUACACGAGUGGCGAACGGGUGAGUAACACGUGGGUGAUCUGCCCUGCACUCUGGGAUAAGCCUGGGAAACUGGGUCUAAUACCGGAUAUGAGCUCCUGUCGCAUGGCGGGGGUUGGAAAGGUUUACUGGUGCAGGAUGGGCCCGCGGCCUAUCAGCUUGUUGGUGGGGUAAUGGCCUACCAAGGCGACGACGGGUAGCCGGCCUGAGAGGGCGACCGGCCACACUGGGACUGAGACACGGCCCAGACUCCUACGGGAGGCAGCAGUGGGGAAUAUUGCACAAUGGGCGAAAGCCUGAUGCAGCGACGCGCGUGAGGGAUGACGGCCUUCGGGUUGUAACCUCUUUCAGCAGGGACGAAGCGAGAGUGACGUACUGCAGAAGAAGCACCGCCAACUACGUGCCAGCAGCCGCGGUAAUACGUAGGGUGCGAGCGUUGUCCGGAAUUACUGGGCGUAAAGAGCUCGUAGGCGGUUUGUCGCGUCGUCCGUGAAAACUUGGGGCUCAACCCCAAGCUUGCGGGCGAUACGGGCAGACUUGAGUACUGCAGGGGAGACUGGAAUUCCUGGUGUAGCGGUGAAAUGCGCAGAUAUCAGGAGGAACACCGGUGGCGAAGGCGGGUCUCUGGGCAGUAACUGACGCUGAGGAGCGAAAGCGUGGGUAGCGAACAGGAUUAGAUACCCUGGUAGUCCACGCCGUAAACGGUGGGCGCUAGGUGUGGGUUUCCUUCCACGGGAUCCGUGCCGUAGCUAACGCAUUAAGCGCCCCGCCUGGGGAGUACGGCCGCAAGGCUAAACUCAAAGGAAUUGACGGGGGCCCGCACAAGCGGCGGAGCAUGUGGAUUAAUUCGAUGCAACGCGAGAACCUUACCUGGUUUGACAUAUACCGGAAAGCCGUAGAGAUACGGCCCCCUUGUGUCGUAUACAGGUGUGCAUGCUGUCGUCAGCUCGUGUCGUGAGAUGUUGGUUAAGUCCCGCAACGAGCGCAACCCUUGUCCUGUGUUGCCAGCGCGUAAUGGCGGGGACUCGCAGGAGACUGCCGGGGUCAACUCGGAGGAAGGUGGGGACGACGUCAAGUCAUCAUGCCCCUUAUGUCCAGGGCUUCACACAUGCUACAAUGGCCGGUACAGAGGGCUGCGAUACCGUGAGGUGGAGCGAAUCCCUUAAAGCCGGUCUCAGUUCGGAUCGGGGUCUGCAACUCGACCCCGUGAAGUCGGAGUCGCUAGUAAUCGCAGAUCAGCAACGCUGCGGUGAAUACGUUCCCGGGCCUUGUACACACCGCCCGUCACGUCAUGAAAGUCGGUAACACCCGAAGCCGGUAGC